Molecule: non-coding RNA, 1144 nt
Organism: Cricetulus griseus (Chinese hamster)
Lineage: Eukaryota; Metazoa; Chordata; Mammalia; Rodentia; Cricetidae
Source: RefSeq, a predicted model, not a curated record
UUCAGGCUGAAGCACCCGGGAAGUUUCUGCUUGAGUGAGCCACGAAAUCCAAGCAACUUGCAGUCACAGGGGUGAGGGCAGCUGCCCGGUAUAGCGUUCCAGCAUCACAGCGCUUCAGUGAGUCAGAAAUGAGCAUUUGUAUGCUAGGCUGUGGAGGACUUGUUUUUGCUUCAGCUAUGUCCAACCUAUGCCUGACUGGGGUCGUUGACCUGUAGUUGGUUUCAGGGCUUUGGGAAAACUCCAAAAUAGGAGGCCGAAUACCAUGAAUACAUUAUGUGUGUUUUGUGAGUGGAGUGGAAACAUAUGUUACAUUGUUCCUCUGGUUGCAGUCGUAACAGUGGAGGCAGCUGUGGAGCUGUUGGCUUUCCUACAGAUUUACUUCCUUGUUACAUGUCUUAAACGACUGCCUAAAGGAGGUGGUCCUUCAGCUAAAUAGACGCCACCAAUGGGAAAACCCCUAGAUGGAAUCCCAGUGGGGCCAGGUGUGAACCAAUAAGAUUAUAUUCAACAGUGAUUAUCGGGAAGACUUGAACCAGGCCUUUCUUCUCAGUCAUGACUCAGUCGCCUUCCUGGGAUUUUAGAAAGAUAUGAUGGGGCUAUAAGGUUUAAAGGUCAACAUGGCUCUUCCCAGCCUGAUAAGAGUCAUUUAUGCAUCUAUCACCGGCUACCAAGCAGCAAGAUAACAAGCUACGGGAAUACUACACUGAAGAGAGAUGUAUCAUAUGAAGGCCGUAAGGAACUACAUGGACUAAAUGCCAGCUGUAUGGCAUUUAGAUGCAGUAGCUUUCCUCAGGGACUACUGAGAUGAUUCUGCUCUCAAGUCAUUGCUACCUGGACCUGUGUGCAAAGUCUCUCCAUUCACUCAACACACCUGCAGUGAGCCCUUGGGUGGCACCUUCCUCCAUGGUCCUAGGAAGAUUUCAUUUUACAAAGGACAAUGCACAGGGAGUGAGAACUCUGAAACGGAUUUUGUGUUCACAGUCUCAAGCCUGGCAGAACACUGCAGACUAAGGGAAAAUACUUUUCAACCUUCCUGAUGAAGAAUUCAAGUCUCUGGCAGUACAGGACUGGAGUCAUGCAGACAUUUAUAAGCUCCUGUGGUAUAUUAUAAAGAGCAAGAGGUAUUUCUUUAUUCAUCAUAUUG